CUGCUCAGAUCUCUUUCUUCCACCAUCUCUCAUCUCGACCUCCACAAGCUUUCAAACAACUUUGCCAACAUGUCAGGGUACGAUGAUGCUCCAAAGCUCUUGGCGUCAAUAUAUUUGCUCAAGGAUGUCUUUGACCAGUACGCUGGACAAGGUGGAGACUCACAGACUUUGACCAAGAAAGACCUCUCUGAGAUGCUCCGCAAAGAGCUUCGUUUGAAUGUCUCAGACUGCCCUGAGGCAGAAGAAUACUUCAACCGACUGGAUGCCAACGGGGAUGGUACUGUUGAUUUCGAGGAGUAUCUCACUCUGGUGGGAGGACUCGCUUUGAUCCUAAGCGCCAUGUACAAUCAACAGUAAUCCAUGUACAGUCACAUGUAUAAAAUAUAUUCCAUCAUCAUAUGCUCUGACAAGGAAAACAUGGUUAAUAAACACACAGAUGAAUCAUAGAUGGGUUAUUAUGUAGUCUUGCAGGACUUGAAAUGUGAUGUCUCUGAGUGUGUUUUGCUGAUUCUGAAUGUCAGAGGUGAUUAACAAAGAAGCAAAAAUAAAUGUUGCCUCCUUUUACUGAAUGUUUUGUGUGUGUUCCUUAACAAAUUACAGAUAUUGUGCAAACUGAGUCAUCUGACCCUCUCUGUUGCACGGUGGAGGAAUGUAAUAGAUACAUUCACUCAAUUACUGUCCUUAAGUACAAUUUUAUUUAUAUAUUUAUUUAUUUAUUUAUUUAUUUUGUUACAUUAUACUUCUACUCCACUGCAUUUAUCUCACAACAACACUGGUUAAUUUGCAGAUUCAGAUUAUUGUUGCAAAUAUAAUCAACAAAUAAAUCAUCAUGUAUUAUUAUGGAUAAAGAUAAAACUUUUUGAUUUCUCGCUGAAAUUGACAAGCUACCAAACAGUUUAUAGUAAACAACUAGCCUCACCUUUACCAGGUGCAGAAUUAAAGUGAUGUUUACAUUAAUGCAUCAAAUCAAAUCAAAUCAAAUGCCUUUAUUGUCAUUGGCAGCUGUACAAUGAAAGUCAAGUGCAACUCCCUUGUGGUAAAAAAAAAAAAAGACAAAAAGACAACACACAACACGCAACUUGACAUAACAGCAAGAGUUACAUAAACAAAUAAGCAGCAGUAAUAAAUAAAAGCUGUAAAAACAAAAACAAUGUUCUGCACACACGCCCAUCUGCACCCCCCCACAAGAUUAUGAGUUCAGUUCUUUUAUGGCACUCGGAUAAAAACUAUUUGUGAGUCUAGAGGUGCGGGCCCGAAUGGACCUGUAGCGCCUCCCAGAAGGCAGCAUUGCAAACAGACAGUUUCCUGGGUGAGAACAGUCCUGGAUUAUGUUUUCUGCACGGCGCAGGCAUCUGGCAUGUAUAUGUCAGACAGAUAGGGAAGCUGUGACCUUAUGAUGUCCUGUGCUGACUUCCUAACUCUAUCCAGAGCUUUUUUUGUCAGCCACAGUGCAGCUUUUACUGUAAACCACACCAAGAUGUCGUGGGGGAUGAUGCUCUCCACAGAACAUUUGUGGAAGGACAGCAGCAGUUCCUGGGACAGGUUGACUUUCCUUGGUGACCUCAAAAAGUACAGUCGCUGCUGUGCUUUUUUCACGAGGGCAGUGGUGUUGACAGUCCAUGUGAGGUCCUGAGAGAUGUAUGUGCCUGGGAAUUUAAAGUCACUGACCCUCUCCACGAUGUCCCCUUUGAUGUAAAGAGGGGCAGGUUCCUCCCUGCCAGAUUGUUGACAGAGCACCAAGCAGUCAAUAAUUCUAAUCUAAUAAUAUACAAACAUAUUAUUCUGAAAUUGGCUGUUCUGCAUAAUGAGAAGCCUACUUUUACUUUUGGUACAAAUAAAGCUAUAGCUUCCACUUAAAUAAUAAAGUCAAGUAAUGGUUCCCUUAAUUGAAGUCAUGUAUAGUAAGUGAAAGCACUAGAAUAUGUUGUUAUAAGUGCUUUCCAGCUCUUGUGACCAUAUGGUUGUCGGUUUGGCCUGUUGUUAUAGAUCUGAGAUCCAGCCUGCAGAACCAGCUGCGUUCAUUUGACUAAUGAAGGUAAAUAUUCUGUAAGUGACUGUCAAUAUUUACCCUUAAAAUAAAUACUGAUAUUUGUCUGAGGUUGAGUAAAAAAAAAAAAAAAUUUAAAAAAAAAGAUGUCCUUACAGCUUAUGGAUAUACAUGAUGGUGACGUUUCAUCCUCAUGCAAACUGAAAGAUUAUACUGCCCACCACUACUUCAUACCUGACAUACUAUAGUCUAUUUUUAUGCUUAUAGGCAAAUAUGACUUGUUGCUCUCCCCCAGCAGUAUCACAGGUGGCUUACAUCAGAGGAAAAGCAAAUAAGUGUCAAUUCUAGUGUUUACAUUUUGUACAUAAAUGGGAGGAAUAAUAGAAAGAAAAAAGGAGGGGGAUAGGUAUAAAGCGGGGUGGGGACAUGGAGAAAAGGUGUGUCAAACUCUAUAUAUACAGGUUUGCGUCUGUGUUCUCUGCUCAGAUCUCUUUCUUCCACCAUCUCUCAUCUCGACCUCCACAAGCUUUCAAACAACUUUGCCAACAUGUCAGGGUACGAUGAUGUUCCAAAGCUCUUGGCGUCGAUAUAUUUGCUCAAGGAUGUCUUUGACGAGUACGCUGGAAAAGGUGGAAACCCACAGACUUUGACCAAGAGAGAACUCUCUAAGAUGCUCCGCAAAGAGCUUCGUUUGAAUGUCUCAAACUGCCCUGAGGCAGAAGAAUACUUCAACCGACUGGAUGCCAGCGGUGAUGGUACUGUUGAUUUCGAGGAGUAUGUCACUCUGGUGGGAGGACUCGCUUUGAUCUUAAACGAGAUGUACAAUCGAAAGUAAUCCAUGUAACACUACAGUCACAUCUAUAAAAUAUGUUUCAUCAUCAUAUGCUCUGACAAGGAAAACAUGGUUAAUAAACACACACAGAUGAAGAGAUGUCAGAAGUGAUUAACAAAGAAGCAAAAAUAAAUGUUGCCUCCUUUUACUGAA
Epinephelus moara (kelp grouper) is the source of this 2972-nucleotide long non-coding RNA. RefSeq lists it as uncharacterized. The transcript has 5 exons. The record is from RefSeq and is a predicted model, not a curated record. Lineage: Eukaryota; Metazoa; Chordata; Actinopteri; Perciformes; Serranidae.